UUGAUAAAGGAAUCGAGCAUUAGAUGGAGUUGCCAUGACUGAUUAUCUUCUUGGCCCGAAGGACUGCUGAUAAAACCUAUAUCUUGAUUUAAUUAAAGGUAUGGAGAAGAUUUAAUUUUGUCUGUAUGAUGUUGCUACUGGUCCUCUGAAAUAUUUCUUAUCACUGGAGUUAGACAGAGAGAAGAUCUUUUUAGAUGAUGCAUGUUACGUAAGGAUUUUGAUUGAACUCAGACCUGAAAGGUGACAGAUGCCCAUUUAUAAGUAUGUGAAGGACCUUUUGGAUAUUGAAUAACUAUCUGAGUGCUUAGGUCCCUAGCAAUGAACUGAUAAUGCUUAAAGAUAAACCUGGUAUUGGCCUUCUCACACUUUGGUCGGUUGAUUGCUGGCUUUGGUAAAAGAAACCCCUCAAUGAUAUAUAUAUUUUUAUUGCUCUAGUUAUCCUCAUGGGCAAUUGGCAUGAGAUUUUGCAUAGGUGCUUUAUGGUGUUUGUGCAUCAAUAAGAACGCAUUAUACUGAAUUGUUCUUUUGAUUUCGGAAUGCUGCUAGGUUUUAUGGCCUCUUCGAUGUCCACAAGUGACAUUAUUGCAUGACUAUGCCAGCAUUAAUUGGAUUUUUAAUCAGAUAAUGAUGAAUUAACAGGGACAUUUCGAUGUCAUAAGUGAGAUAACCUCGUCUUUUCCAUUAUGCCUUCAAUACAUUCUAAGUAGAGUUACCUUUCUGCGUCUAUUUAGGAUAAAAAUGGUGUGAUGGUAAAGUACUUUAAGACUUGGAUUGGGUCUUUCAUUUUCCUGUGCCCAAAUAUUUGGUAGAUAAAUUUUUAAUGGAUACUUACCCUUGGUUCACUCGUUGGAGAGCCCCUUCAUUGUUCAGAUAAGAGGUAAACAAUACUUCCCUUCUAGAUAAUGUUCAAAAAGUUUAAUAUGUCUUUUUAAUUCUUUUCUACCUCAAUCUCUUAACAAGAAUAUUAUCACUAUUAUUAUUGUAUUAUUACUAUGAUAAUAACAGCUAUCACUUUUUAAUUACUUUUUUAUUGGAUCAUGCAACUUAAUCUAAUCUCCGAGUGCGUUUAAAAUAACCUAUUUUCUUCAUUACUUUGUUAGUCGAUCAUGCAACUUGUGUAUAUGAUUAUAGAUUAGAAACUAUCAAAUAGCUCAACAUUCAUAAACUAUAGAGCUUUGCUAACUCAUGAAAUUUAAAGAAAAAAGAUAUUCUUAUUCAUUAACCAAUCAGUGGUAACUAAAAAUUUUCAUUUACUAAGCGAAAAAUUAUUCUCAAGUAAAAGAUAAUAUUUUAUGUCUUAUUAUACUGAAUGUUGUGCUGUAUCAUUUUAUUUGUAUCAUGUUGUGUCGUGUUGUUUUGCAUAGAGUGAUAAGUUUCUUGUUAAUUCUAUGACAUACUUGCAUCAUAUUGAUUAUGUAAUGAUUCUUGUUCUUUUAUUUAUCUUCUUCUAUAAUUGAUGAUUGGUUUUUUCUUAUUUAAUGAUAAGAAGAUUAUGUUACACAAAAGUGACACAAAAAAAAUAUAUAAUGGUUGGAAAUACAUACAAAGAAUUAGAAAAUCAAACAAUUGAUAUAAACGACUCAGUAUGAAAUUUUAUUUGACAAAUUGAGAUAAAAUUCAUGAAUUAUGCAUCCCUGAAUUUACCAAAAAGAAAAUAUUCAAACCACUACUUCAGAUUAACUAUUCUUCUUUAAGCAUCGGUUAUGUGUUGGCAAAUAACACAGUGACUGGAUAUGAGUCUUUCCAUGACGCUGCCUUCUUUUAUUUUCAAUUCCCUAGUCCGUUUAUUCCACAGGUGUACGGUGUAGCUCUCACUGGAUAUGUUAGCUAAUAUGUCCUCUGCUGAUUUGAUUUCGUCUUCUGUUUGAGGCUUCUUGUAAAGCUUGAUGAUCUUAACCCAAUCCACUGGAUAAAACGUGUUUGGUGGGUAGAUCGUGAGAUUGUAUUCAGCUUUAUUCCCUAAUCUUUCAAGAACUCUAGAAACCAAGUAAGGUCCAUUGUGUCCCCACCUGUUUCCGUUGAAAGUUUUGGCAAAUUCCUGCAAGAAAUCUAACAGAAGCGGAUGAUAUAUAUCGAAUAUCAUAACAGCACCAUUCAGUCUUGUCCAUAUCUUGGUUGACAGUUUCAUGCUUUGUGCUCCAAUGGCGUUUCUCAGCGCUGAAAGAUCUUUUAUAAAUAUGAAAUCUGUGUCGAGGUAAACUCCCCCGUAUCUGUACAGAAC
RNAcentral lists this long non-coding RNA (2221 nucleotides) under Carica papaya (papaya). Its description in RNAcentral is "long non-coding RNA (CPAP_LNC002025)". The record is from RNAcentral. Lineage: Eukaryota; Viridiplantae; Streptophyta; Magnoliopsida; Brassicales; Caricaceae.